GCAGCGGUAGUUCAGUUGGUUAGAAUACCGGCCUGUCACGCCGGUGUUCGCGGAUUCGGCCCCCGUCCGCUGCGACA
RNAcentral lists this transfer RNA (77 nucleotides) under Acinetobacter baumannii. RNAcentral's name for it is "tRNA-Asp". It matches the Rfam family "tRNA". Rfam says of the family: Transfer RNA (tRNA) molecules are approximately 80 nucleotides in length. Their secondary structure includes four short double-helical elements and three loops (D, anti-codon, and T loops). Further hydrogen bonds mediate the characteristic L-shaped molecular structure. tRNAs have two regions of fundamental functional importance: the anti-codon, which is responsible for specific mRNA codon recognition, and the 3' end, to which the tRNAs corresponding amino acid is attached (by aminoacyl-tRNA synthetases). tRNAs cope with the degeneracy of the genetic code in two manners: having more than one tRNA (with a specific anti-codon) for a particular amino acid; and 'wobble' base-pairing, i.e. permitting non-standard base-pairing at the 3rd anti-codon position. Lineage: Bacteria; Pseudomonadati; Pseudomonadota; Gammaproteobacteria; Moraxellales; Moraxellaceae. The record is from RNAcentral.